RNAcentral lists this ribosomal RNA (501 nucleotides) under uncultured Acidobacteriota bacterium. RNAcentral describes it as "bacterial SSU rRNA". It matches the Rfam family "Bacterial small subunit ribosomal RNA", at positions 29 to 507 of the family's 1533-position model. Lineage: Bacteria; Pseudomonadati; Acidobacteriota. The record is from RNAcentral.
AAUGAACGCUGGCGGCGUGCUUAACACAUGCAAGUUGAGCGGUAAGGCCCCUUCGGGGGUACACGAGCAGCGAACGGGUGAGUAACGCGUGGGUAAUCUACCCAAAGGUGGAGGAUAGCCUCGGGAAACCGGGGGUAAUACUGCAUAUGUCCCGACUGACACAAGUCUAUCGGGGGAAAGGCGGGGAUCUUCGGACCUGUCGCCUUUGGAUGAGCCCGCGUCCGAUUAGCUAGUUGGUGAGGUAAUGGCUCACCAAGGCAUCGAUCGGUAGCCGGCCUGAGAGGGUGAACGGCCACAUUGGGACUGAGACACGGCCCAGACUCCUACGGGAGGCAGCAGUGGGGAAUUUUGGGCAAUGGGCGAAAGCCUGACCCAGCGACGCCGCGUGGAGGAUGAAGGCCUUCGGGUUGUAAACUCCUGUCAGGUGGGAAGAAGUGCUUCACGGAUAAUACUCGUGAAGAAUUGACGGUACCACCAAAGGAAGCCCCGGCUAACUCCGUG